Molecule: ribosomal RNA, 169 nt
Filed under: uncultured Blautia sp.
Lineage: Bacteria; Bacillati; Bacillota; Clostridia; Lachnospirales; Lachnospiraceae
Description: partial 16S ribosomal RNA
Rfam family: Bacterial small subunit ribosomal RNA
Source: RNAcentral
CCUACGGGAGGCAGCAGUGGGGAAUAUUGCACAAUGGGGGAAACCCUGGUGCAGCGACGCCGCGUGAAGGAAGAAGUAUCUCGGUAUGUAAACUUCUAUCAGCAGGGAAGAUAAUGACGGUACCUGACUAAGAAGCCCCGGCUAACUACGUGCCAGCAGCCGCGGUAAU